CAUAGAAAUCUCAUGAAACCUAGGCCGAUAGCAAGUGACCUAACCCUCUCAACCUGCAUGUCUUCGGAAUUUGUUUUCAUCCCGUUCUUUGUUGUCCGCCGUUCGAAAGCUGCAGUCAACAUGAGGAAUCAACUCGAAGGGUUUCCAUUGCGUUGUUUGAUUGUCACCACAAUCAACAUACAUGAUUUCUUCCCCCUCCUGCAAUGGGAGAUCAAAAACGUUACAGAACUCAACCAGAUUCAAUCAGUGUCGUUAAAGUUCUUCUUAACUCUAUCUCUUCCCCCACUCCUUCCACGAUUCUUCAUUCAAUGUUCCCACCUUUCUUUCAGACGAUGAAUCUACAUAUAUAAAUAGAACACAAUGACAAACUCCUCUCGCUAUGAGCUCUUGCCUAGGAGUUGAAGCUUAAGACAUCCUGGAGGAAAGACAAUCGUCGGAAACAAGUGCAGCACAGUAAGAGGAGGAAAGCGGCGACGGAGGGAAAGGAGGAGGAUGAAGGAGGUGAAGGAUAAAGAGAAAGCCAUUGAUGAUGGUGAAGAGGAUAGAGAGAAGAGAACAUUAAUGGAGAGUGGGACAAAGCUAACACCAGUGAGAAGGAUAUCUAUGGAAACACCGAGGACACUGAGCUCAAGAAUUGGGACUCCGAGUUCGUCAAAGCUGCUAACUAUUUGAGCAUCACUGGACUUCUUAACCCGACGUGUAAGACUGUAGCGGAUAUGAUGAUAGGCAAGACUCCAGAAGAGAUGCGCACGCACUUCAACAUUAAUAACAACAUGGGCCUUUGAGUGGCUUCCCUGGUGGUUUUGGCAAGUUCUGUUGGUUUUUUAUCAUCAAGUUUGGGUCUUUGUGCUUUUUUUUAUCUAUAGUUUUGGUCACUAUCAUCUUUUGAUGCAACUCUGUACAUACCUUCAUACCAAAAAACUCUCUACAUACAAGUAGACCAUGUUGUUGAUCCAAACGCAUGUUCCUUAAGUGUGGAUGUUGGAUGUUGAUGAUAAAAAGAGAUUACUUGGUAGCUUAGCUAUCUCUGUUCCCGAAGUAU
Long non-coding RNA from Brassica napus (rape), 1042 nucleotides. RefSeq lists it as uncharacterized. The record is from RefSeq and is a predicted model, not a curated record. The transcript has 3 exons. NCBI's taxonomy places the organism in Eukaryota, Viridiplantae, Streptophyta, Magnoliopsida, Brassicales, Brassicaceae.